UUUCGGGNGCGGNGCCGGNCUAAGUCCCUUGGAACAGGGCGUCAUAGAGGGUGAGAAUCCCGUCUGUGACCGGCGACCAAGCCCAUGUGAAACCCCUUCGACGAGUCGAGUUGUUUGGGAAUGCAGCUCAAAACGGGUGGUAAAUUUCAUCUAAAGCUAAAUACCGGCUGGAGACCGAUAGCGCACAAGUAGAGUGAUCGAAAGAUGAAAAGCACUUUGGAAAGAGAGUUAAAAAGUACGUGAAAUUGUUGAAAGGGAAGCGCUCGCCACCAGACCUGUCCCCGGGCGAUCAGCGGCGGUUCUCCGCCGUGCACUCGUCCGGGAUCAGGCCAGCAUCGGUUCGGGCGGUCGGAUAAAGGCCGCGGGAACGUAGCUCCCCUCGAGGAGUCUUAUAGCCCGCGGUGCAAUGCGGCCCGCCCGGACCGAGGACCGCGCUUCGGCUAGGAUGCUGGCAUAAUGGUGGUGAGCGACCCGUCUUGAAACACGGACCAAGGAGUCUAACAUCUAUGCGAGUGUUUGGGUGUCAAACCCAUGCGCGGAAUGAAAGUGAACGGAGGUGAGACCCCGAAAGGGCGCAUCAUCGACCGAUCCAGAUGUCUUCGGAUGGAUUUGAGUACGAGCAUAGCUGUUGGGACCCGAAAGGUACGCCGAAGCAUUUCUUUUGUAUUCCCCUCGCCUCUCCGUGUCCCCGCUAACAGAUCGUCCAGAUGGUGAACUAUGCCUGAAUAGGGUGAAGCCAGAGGAAACUCUGGUGGAGGCUCGCAGCGGUUCUGACGUGCAAAUCGAUCGUCAAAUUUGGGUAUAGGGGCGAAAGACUAAUCGAACCAUCUAGUAGCUGGUUCCUGCCGAAGUUUCCCUCAGGAUAGCAGUAACGUUUUCAGUUUUAUGAGGUAAAGCGAUGAUUAGAGGC
Molecule: ribosomal RNA, 910 nt
Filed under: Mycoblastus sanguinarius
Lineage: Eukaryota; Fungi; Ascomycota; Lecanoromycetes; Lecanorales; Mycoblastaceae
Description: eukaryotic LSU rRNA
Rfam family: Eukaryotic large subunit ribosomal RNA
Source: RNAcentral